RNAcentral lists this ribosomal RNA (887 nucleotides) under uncultured bacterium. Its description in RNAcentral is "partial 16S ribosomal RNA". The record is from RNAcentral.
GGCCGUACUCCCCCAGGCGGUCGACUUAUCGCGUUAGCUGCGCCACUAAGAUCUCAAGGAUCCCCAACGGCUAGUCGACAUCGUUUACGGCGUGGACUACCAGGGUAUCUAAUCCUGUUUGCUCCCCACGCUUUCGCACCUCAGUGUCAGUAUCAGUCCAGGUGGUCGCCUUCGCCACUGGUGUUCCUUCCUAUAUCUACGCAUUUCACCGCUACACAGGAAAUUCCACCACCCUCUACCGUACUCUAGCUCAGUAGUUUUGGAUGCAGUUCCCAGGUUGAGCCCGGGGAUUUCACAUCCAACUUGCUGAACCACCUACGCGCGCUUUACGCCCAGUAAUUCCGAUUAACGCUUGCACCCUUCGUAUUACCGCGGCUGCUGGCACGAAGUUAGCCGGUGCUUAUUCUGUUGGUAACGUCAAAACAGCAAGGUAUUAACUUACUGCCCUUCCUCCCAACUUAAAGUGCUUUACAAUCCGAAGACCUUCUUCACACACGCGGCAUGGCUGGAUCAGGCUUUCGCCCAUUGUCCAAUAUUCCCCACUGCUGCCUCCCGUAGGAGUCUGGACCGUGUCUCAGUUCCAGUGUGACUGAUCAUCCUCUCAGACCAGUUACGGAUCGUCGCCUUGGUAGGCCUUUACCCCACCAACUAGCUAAUCCGACCUAGGCUCAUCUGAUAGCGUGAGGUCCGAAGAUCCCCCACUUUCUCCCUCAGGACGUAUGCGGUAUUAGCGCCCGUUUCCGGACGUUAUCCCCCACUACCAGGCAGAUUCCUAGGCAUUACUCACCCGUCCGCCGCUGAAUCCAGGAGCAAGCUCCCUUCAUCCGCUCGACUUGCAUGUGUUAGGCCUGCCGCCAGCGUUCAAUCUGAGCCAGGAUCAAACCCUU